Long non-coding RNA from Hipposideros armiger (great roundleaf bat), 1425 nucleotides. RefSeq lists it as uncharacterized. The transcript has 4 exons. The record is from RefSeq and is a predicted model, not a curated record. Lineage: Eukaryota; Metazoa; Chordata; Mammalia; Chiroptera; Hipposideridae.
GGCUGCUGCCCUCCUACCCACGGUCUAGCGACUGCCUUGUACUGGGCUUCCCUCCCCCUUGGUGUAAAUUUGUUCUAACAUGUGAGUGACUGCUAAGCUCAGCUUAUCCUAAACAUAUUUGCCUUUUUAUUUUUUAAGUGCUAGUUCAUCCAAGUGCAUGCUUAAUUGGGGAGAUACAGAGAAACAGCAAUCAAAUCAACGGGCACCUCCCAUAUGCCCAUUCCCGUGGGGCAGACUGCGGGUGCUGAGGGGGACCUGCUGACUCCCCUUCCAUCUACAGACCCUGUUGCAGCAGAGACGCUGUCCUGGCAUUCACGGCAGAGCUGCCAGGCCCCCGAAUGAGUGGGGACCCACGGAGCCAAGUGAAUUCUUCAGCCUGAAUUAUCAGGCUGGCUCAGCUGGAGUGGAGGGUGCGCAGGACAACGGCCGAGUCCUCUUCAGGCUGUGCUCGGGAGAUGACCAGUGAGGACGGACUGGGACAACUAGCAAAUGUCCAUCAGUGUAGACUGCAGAAACACACCUGCUUACAUCGCACAACGGAAUAUUAUACGGCAACAAAAAUGAGGAAACUGCAGCUAAACGCACCCAGCAGGGUGAACGCCACAAACAGGAUGCUGAAGAAAGGAGGCCAGACAUACAAGAGCAUGUAUUAGUAUCCUGCUGUGUUUGCAUAACUUUCUGAAACAGGCAAAACCAGUCUAUAGAGUGCGAAUUCAGGGCAGUGGUUACCCCGGGGAGGGGUGAUGACUAGGAGAGGCCCAGGGGACCUCUGGGACCAUGAGGCUGGUUCUGGGUUUAUUCUGGGUGCAUAGACCAUCGCUUUGUGUUCACACUGUGAAUAUUCACUCUUUCAAGUUUCUGCCCUGGCUGCAUGGGCCUCAGAACUGGAUAGACAACUAAACAUACAGUCAUACAACCCAAUUUCCCUCGUUGGAGGGGCUGAUGGCGACUCCCCUUGUCUUCCUGUCCCCGCUGAAAUGUCACCUUCUCACAGAAGCCAUCUCUGGAAACCCCUCGGUACUGCCACACCUUUGGUGACUCUCCACACAUCCCCAUCUGCUGCUUCUCCUGUGCGCCCUCAUCCCUGCGUGGUGGGCUGUCACUUGCUGAGGGUUGCACCUGCCCGGCCUCCCCGCCGGUGAGUGCCAGAGAGCAGGAGCUGGUCCGUCUGUCUCCCUGUUUCCAGAGCAGCGCUUGGCGCAGAGUCAGGGCUGAAGAGGUCUGUGUGCACUGGCUGUUGAAAGGACCAGUCAGACAUUUAUCGCCAGGACCGAGGAUCAAGAAUAACUGACGUUAAGCAGAGGCAUUCUGCUCACGAGCCAGAGGCAGCCAGACCAAGGCUUAAAUCAUGACACUGCAGGAGAGCACCUCAUAGCUGAUGGCAGGGAAGGGCGGUCAGAGCUGGGCAAAGCCUGGGGAACAAUG